Non-coding RNA from Pelobates cultripes (western spadefoot toad), 205 nucleotides. The record is from the annotation of a GenBank genome assembly. Lineage: Eukaryota; Metazoa; Chordata; Amphibia; Anura; Pelobatidae.
CCAAUAUAUGUCCCUAACUGUUUUAACAUGAUUUACUAAUAAUAUCAUAGGUGGGUCGUGGUAGGUGGAACAAUAGCCGGAUGGAAACUUGCCCAUGAACUUACCAGUGUUUUGGGGCACUGAGUAACAAGUGUAAUUACCUCGGGAUACUGUGACUCCAUCAGGUGGUCUAGUGUUUCCCUGGGUAAUGGGAUACACCUUUUUC